AUUGAACGCUGGCGGCAUGCUUUACACAUGCAAGUCGAACGGUAACAGGCCUUCGGGUGCUGACGAGUGGCGAACGGGUGAGUAAUGCAUCGGAACGUGCCCAGAGGUGGGGGAUAACGCAGCGAAAGCUGUGCUAAUACCGCAUGUGAUCUGAGGAUGAAAGCGGGGGACCAGGCAGCAAUGUUUGGCCUCGCGCCUUUGGAGCGGCCGAUGUCAGAUUAGGUAGUUGGUGGGGUAAAGGCCUACCAAGCCGACGAUCUGUAGCUGGUCUGAGAGGACGACCAGCCACACUGGAACUGAGACACGGCCCAGACUCCUACGGGAGGCAGCAGUGGGGAAUUUUGGACAAUGGGCGCAAGCCUGAUCCAGCAAUGCCGCGUGCGGGAAGAAGGCCUUCGGGUUGUAAACCGCUUUUGUACGGAACGAAAAGGCUCUGGCUAAUACCUGGGGCUGAUGACGGUACCGUAAGAAUAAGCACCGGCUAACUACGUG
This 492-nucleotide ribosomal RNA is filed under the name uncultured bacterium. RNAcentral describes it as "partial 16S ribosomal RNA". It matches the Rfam family "Bacterial small subunit ribosomal RNA", at positions 30 to 507 of the family's 1533-position model. The record is from RNAcentral.